Gallus gallus (chicken) is the source of this 1378-nucleotide long non-coding RNA. RefSeq lists it as uncharacterized. NCBI's taxonomy places the organism in Eukaryota, Metazoa, Chordata, Aves, Galliformes, Phasianidae. The record is from RefSeq and is a predicted model, not a curated record. The transcript has 4 exons.
GCCCCGCCCCUCUCGAGCUGCAUCUGCGGGAGCGGCCUGGGGGGGUCGCGGUGUUCGGUAGCGUUGUGUGUUGCCUUGGUGCAGGAGUCCCGCCGUAUGCGGCCGAAAGGAGCGCUGGCCCGUUUGUGCUCGAUGUCUUGCCAGCCCUUCGGCAAGGCUGCGCGCGUUCGUUCCUUCUCUGAUCGCACCUAUGUCCUGAGUUGUGCAGACAACGCUGAUUUUGGGCAGGCCCACACGUUCGCCCUGAGAGGGACCACGCAGGAAAACGCAAGGCAGAACCCCCCAGGGGGUGCCAGACUGCAGGGUGUUAAUCCCACAGCAUUGCGUACUUGCAGUGCUGAUGUUCCAUAGGCCUCAGGAGGCGUACAUGGCGAUGGCCAGUUGGGCUACAAAGCGGUGUUGAGUAAAGAAUGUGAGAAGGAAGCUGGGAGAACAAACACGCAGACAGUGGGGUUGGGAAGAGCAUAUCCUGGUCCUGCUGCCUUCAGGGAAGCACUUCUAACGGGCAGAAGCUUCUCAGAGAAAGGUGGUAGGGCUGCACGGCCAGGGCGGUGCUGCUGGACUCCCUGCCUGCCUCGAGGAAGGCAGCAGAGCCCUACCAUCUUUAUUCCUGAUAGAGUAGACUACUUCCAGGCUGCACAAGCUGAAUGCAUAAUAGCUAUGCGUUUAUGGCUGUAAUUGCUGAUAUCGGAUGGGCUGACUCAUGCACGUUUGAAUUCUUACUGCAGAAGGAACUAUUCUAUCUGCAUGCAUAUUGAAGAAAAGGAAUCAAAACACCAUUUCAAGGCUUUAAGGUGGACUGCUUCGAAUUAGGUUUCAUCUGAAGUCGGUGGUUGUAUGUGGAGAACUGUCAACAGUCCCAAACCCAAAAAACAAGAGCAGACAGAACUCCUACUCUUCUUCCUGAAAAAACAACAACAAGAACAAAUGAGCAACAUUAUGAGGGCAGGCGUAAUUGUGUGCCGUGCCUGAGACAGAGUGAGUCCAUGCUACGGGGAGAAUCAGUGGUGGACAAGACCAGGAUGAAUACAUCUGAAACCAUGAGCAGUUGUAGCUACCUCAUUUUGCUGUUGCAGAACAUUUAAGGUCUUAAAGUGCAUGGAAGAUGGCUGUGAAGAUUACAUGUUUGAGCGAGGUGGCCUUUGCACCCUUCUUUGCAGGCAUGCACCAGAGUACCUAGAAGGCAGUCAAGCCCAUCAGAAGAAAAUUACCUGCUUCAGAGAAACAGAUAGAAAAGUAAUGACAGCAUUGAGAAACUUGGAGCUUGUGCUUUCUUUUUUUCUUCUUUCUUUCUUCCUUUCUUUCUUUCUUUUUUUUUUUUUAAUCUGGUCUUGGGUAAACAUUUCUGCCAUAUUACAUUUCCAGCGUGCUCAGAAAA